AGCGAACGCUGGCGGUAUGCCUAACACAUGCAAGUCGAACGAGAUCUUCGGGUCUCGUGGCGCACAGGUGCGUAACGCGUGGGAAUCUGCCCUUUGGUUCGGAAUAACAGUUGGAAACGACUGCUAAUACCGGAUGAUGACGAAAGUCCGAAGAGUUAUCGCCGGAGGAGGAGCCCGUGUAGGAUUAGCUAGUUGGUGUGGUAAAGGCACACCAAGGCGGCGAUCCUUAGCUGGUCUGAGAGGAUGAUCAGCCACACUGGGACUGGGAUCCGGCGCAGAGUCCUACGGUGGGCAGCAGGGAGGAAUAUUGGAUACUGGGCGAUAGCCUAAGCCAGCAAGGAGGCGUGGGUGAUGAAGGACUUAGGGUUGUAAAGUUCUUUUACCCGGGUUGGUAAUGACAGGACCGGAAGAAUAAGCUCCGGCUAACUCCGUGCCAGCAGCCGCCGUAA
This 449-nucleotide ribosomal RNA is filed under the name uncultured bacterium. RNAcentral's name for it is "partial 16S ribosomal RNA". It matches the Rfam family "Bacterial small subunit ribosomal RNA", at positions 29 to 523 of the family's 1533-position model. The record is from RNAcentral.